GGCUAGGCUUACUCCAACCCAAUGUGAACGUUACCAAACUGUUGCCUCGGCGGGGUCACGCCCCGGGUGCGUCGCAGCCCCGGAACCAGGCGCCCGCCGGAGGAACCAACCAAACUCUUUCUGUAGUCCCCUCGCGGACGUAUUUCUUACAGCUCUGAGCAAAAAUUCAAAAUGAAUCAAAACUUUCAACAACGGAUCUCUUGGUUCUGGCAUCGAUGAAGAACGCAGCGAAAUGCGAUAAGUAAUGUGAAUUGCAGAAUUCAGUGAAUCAUCGAAUCUUUGAACGCACAUUGCGCCCGCCUUAUUCUGGCGGGCAUGCCUGUCCGAGCGUCAUUUCAACCCUCGAACCCCUCCGGGGGAUCGGCGUUGGGGAUCGGGACCCCUCACACGGGUGCCGGCCCCUAAAUACAGUGGCGGUCUCGCCGCAGCCUCUCCUGCGCAGUAGUUUGCACAACUCGCACCGGGAGCGCGGCGCGCCCACGUCCGUAAAACACCCAACUUUCUGAAAUGUUGACCUCGGAUCAGGUAGGAAUACCCGCUGAACUUAAGCAUAUCAUAAUCCGGGAAGAA
This 570-nucleotide ribosomal RNA is filed under the name Trichoderma asperellum. RNAcentral's name for it is "eukaryotic LSU rRNA". The stretch from base 181 to 333 matches the Rfam family "5.8S ribosomal RNA". Lineage: Eukaryota; Fungi; Ascomycota; Sordariomycetes; Hypocreales; Hypocreaceae. The record is from RNAcentral.